RNAcentral lists this ribosomal RNA (325 nucleotides) under uncultured eukaryote. RNAcentral's name for it is "partial 18S ribosomal RNA". It matches the Rfam family "Eukaryotic small subunit ribosomal RNA", at positions 1470 to 1796 of the family's 1831-position model. The record is from RNAcentral.
CCCUUAGAUGUUCUGGGCCGCACGCGCGCUACACUGAUGCAUUCAACGAGCCUAUCCUUGACCGACAGGUCCGGGUAAUCUUUGAAUCUGCAUCGUGACGGGGAUAGAUUAUUGCAAUUAUUAAUCUUCAACGAGGAAUGCCUAGUAGGCGCAAGUCAUCAGCUUGCGUCGAUUACGUCCCUGCCCUUUGUACACACCGCCCGUCGCUCCUACCGAUUGGGUGUGCUGGUGAAAUGUUCGGAUCGGCCGUUUGUCGCGGUUUCCGCGUCAUGAGGCUGAGAAGUUCAUUAAACCCUCCCACCUAGAGGAAGGAGAAGUCGUAACA